This 432-nucleotide ribosomal RNA is filed under the name uncultured bacterium. RNAcentral describes it as "partial 16S ribosomal RNA". It matches the Rfam family "Bacterial small subunit ribosomal RNA", at positions 29 to 507 of the family's 1533-position model. The record is from RNAcentral.
ACGAACGCUGGCGGCAUGCCUAACACAUGCAAGUCGAACGAGACCUUCGGGUCUAGUGGCGCACGGGUGCGUAACGCGUGGGAACCUGCCCUUAGGUUCGGAAUAACUCCCCGAAAGGGGUGCUAAUACCGGAUAAUGUCUUCGGACCAAAGACUUAUCGCCUUUGGAUGGGCCCGCGUUGGAUUAGCUAGUUGGUAGGGUAAAAGCCUACCAAGGCGACGAUCCAUAGCUGGUCUGAGAGGAUGAUCAGCCACACUGGGACUGAGACACGGCCCAGACUCCUACGGGAGGCAGCAGUGGGGAAUAUUGGACAAUGGGCGAAAGCCUGAUCCAGCAAUGCCGCGUGAGUGAUGAAGGCCUUAGGGUUGUAAAGCUCUUUUACCCGGGAUGAUAAUGACAGUACCGGGAGAAUAAGCUCCGGCUAACUCCGUG